UGCAUUAUCCAUGUGGUCCUAACCAGAGACAGACAUAACCAGACAGCCAAGGAGUGCGGGAGGGCUCUCACAUCCUGCCCCAACUCAUGUCCCAUACUUCCACCUUCUCCGCCAUUCUCCCUUCAGUCACCGGUCACUAUCUGCCCCGGUGCCACUGGGGGUCUCUGAGGGGGACAGCCACUUGCUCCAGGAGAUGAUGCCUUCCAAAACCAGGCAGAAACCUUGUGCGCUUCCAAGUCCUGCCCCACAGCAAUAUUGCACCCAGCAUUUUCCCUGCUAUAAGCCCCUUUUCCAUGUAUUUGUACUGACCCAGACUGGUGAUGCUGUCAGGAAGGUGCCAGAAGGCACACUGCCCCAUGGGCCCAGCUCUCCCCACACCUCCCAUUACCCCUGGGGCAGCUCUGUCCGGCCAGGACCCAGCCUACCCUUGGGCUCCAUCACCCCUUCCCAGAAGGGAGCACAUGAGGGAGGAGGCCUGAAACUCUUGAAGAUAAACUACGCCAGUAUUUCUCCAGAGCUCUUUCCUUCCCUGAGCAAAGGGCUCUCCAUCUCACCACUACCUGGGGGAGUGCCUGCACCCAGAGUGGGUGUGAGGGGUACAAGAAACAGCCACAGACUUUAGGGAAGAGAGACACCCCCAAUUUCUCUAAAAAGUCGGUUUAAAUUCAGCUAAAGGAGGCAUUGGCUAUGACAAAGAAAUUACUUUAGCUGUGUGCUUCAGUGGAUGAAUCCUUGUAUACCUCCUCUUUCUUAGGAUUCCAGGUUUCUAGGAAACUUAGAAUAGCUGUUGCUUCAUUCCUAAAAAAAAGCUUCUCUGAAUGAUUAAUAAUCCAUCCCUUACUGCACGUCUUGUUCCUCAGAAUUUGAGCAGUCUGGUAAGUACCUGAAAUGCUUUAAUGUUUCAAAAUACAGCAUCUUUUAAGCCUAAGUGAAACUUAGCUUCAGCCUUCAAAGUCAAAACAAAACAAAAAACACUGGCAAUAUGUAGUGUAUUACCCCCUU
Molecule: long non-coding RNA, 1002 nt
Organism: Pseudopipra pipra
Lineage: Eukaryota; Metazoa; Chordata; Aves; Passeriformes; Pipridae
Exons: 3
Source: RefSeq, a predicted model, not a curated record